GCGGACGGGUGAGUAACGCGUGGAUAACCUGCCGUAUACUGGGGGAUAACACUUAGAAAUAGGUGCUAAUACCGCAUAAGCGCACAGUCUCGCAUGAGACGGUGUGAAAAACUCCGGUGGUAUACGAUGGAUCCGCGUCUGAUUAGCUUGUUGGCGGGGUAACAGCCCACCAAGGCGACGAUCAGUAGCCGGCCUGAGAGGGUGAACGGCCACAUUGGGACUGAGACACGGCCCAAACUCCUACGGGAGGCAGCAGUGGGGAAUAUUGCACAAUGGGGGAAACCCUGAUGCAGCGACGCCGCGUGAGUGAAGAAGUGCCCCGGCACGUAAAGCUCUAUCAGCAGGGAAGAAAAUGACGGUACCUGACCAAGAAGCCCCGGCUAACUACGUGCCAGCAGCCGCGGUAAUACGUAGGGGGCAAGCGUUAUCCGGAUUUACUGGGUGUAAAGGGAGCGUAGACGGCAGCGCAAGUCUGGAGUGAAAUCCCGGGGCUCAACCCCGGAACUGCUUUGGAAACUGCGCGGCUCGAGUGCAGGAGGGGCAGGCGGAAUUCCUAGUGUAGCGGUGAAAUGCGUAGAUAUUAGGAGGAACACCAGUGGCGAAGGCGGCCUGCUGGACUGUAACUGACGUUGAGGCUCGAAAGCGUGGGGAGCAAACAGGAUUAGAUACCCUGGUAGUCCACGCCGUAAACGAUGAUUACUAGGUGUCGGGGGAUCAAGGUCCUCCGGUGCCGGCGCAAACGCAUUAAGUAAUCCACCUGGGGAGUACGUUCGCAA
This 776-nucleotide ribosomal RNA is filed under the name uncultured bacterium. RNAcentral's name for it is "bacterial SSU rRNA". It matches the Rfam family "Bacterial small subunit ribosomal RNA", at positions 98 to 891 of the family's 1533-position model. The record is from RNAcentral.